GCACGGGGAGGUAGUGACGAAAAAUAACGAUGCGGGACUCGGUCGAGACCCCGCCAUUGGAAUGAGUACACUCUAAAUCCUUUAACGAGGAUCGACCGGAGGGCAAGUCUGGUGCCAGCAGCUGCGGUAAUUCCAGCUCCGGUAGCAUAUGCUAAAGUUGCUGCGGUUAAAAAGCUCGUAGUUGGAUCUCAGUCUGGGCCGCGCGGUCUCGCCCGUGUGGCGGGUCUCGCCGCGGCCGGUCAAAAUGUCGGCCGCCCGGGAUGAUCUUGACCGGUUGUCUCGGAACGGCCGGCGAGUUUACUUUGAAAAAAUCAGAGUGCUCAAAGCGGGCGUUAACCGCCCGGACGCCCGUGCAUGGAAUAAUGGAAAACGACCUCGGUUCCGAUCUGUUGGUCCGCGAACUCGUGAGGUAAUGAUUAAGAGGAACGGCCGGGGGCGAUCGUACCGCGACGCUAGAGGUGAAAUUCUUGGACCGUCGCGAGACGCACCACAGCGAAAGCAUUCGUCAAGAACGCUUCCGUUAAUCAAGAACGAAAGUCAGAGGUUCGAAGGCGAUCAGAUACCGCCCUAGUUCUGACCUUAAACGAUGCCGACCAGCGAUCGGGCUGCGCUCACCACGAUGAGGCGCCCGGAAGCUUUCCGGGAAACCAGAGUUUCUGGGUUCCGGGGGAAGUAUGGUUGCAAAGCUGAAACUUAAAGGAAUUGACGGAAGGGCACCACCAGGAAUGGAGCCUGCGGCUUAAUUUGACUCAACACGGGAAAACUCACCCGGCCCGGACACGGGAAGGAUUGACAGACUGAUUGCUCUUUCUUGAUUCUGUGGGUGGUGGUGCAUGGCCGUUCUUAGUUGG
RNAcentral lists this ribosomal RNA (851 nucleotides) under Afrarchaea godfreyi. RNAcentral's name for it is "SSU rRNA". It matches the Rfam family "Eukaryotic small subunit ribosomal RNA", at positions 454 to 1301 of the family's 1831-position model. The record is from RNAcentral. Lineage: Eukaryota; Metazoa; Arthropoda; Arachnida; Araneae; Archaeidae.